UAUAAACGCAAAUAUUUUACUAAAUUAGUGUUAGUUAUGUUCUUUAAAAUUAAAAAAUUUGGCGGUAUUUUAGUCUAUUCAGAGGAACCUGUUCUAUAAUUGAUAUUCCACGAUAAGUUAAACUUAUUUUUUUAAUUUGUAUAUCGUUGUAGGUUGAAUAUUUUAUUAGGAUUUUUAAUAUUCUAAAUUUUUGAAAGGAAAAUAAAUCAGAUCAAGGUGCAGUUUAUAAAUAAGGAGAAAUGGGUUUCAAUAUUUUUAAUUAAAUGGAUAAAUUUUUUAAAAAUUUUUUGAAAGUGGAUUUGAGAGUAAUUUUAAUUAUUUUAUUAAAAUGAUUUUAGCUCUAAAAUAUGU
RNAcentral lists this ribosomal RNA (351 nucleotides) under Hobartius sp. CO879. Its description in RNAcentral is "partial 12S ribosomal RNA". Lineage: Eukaryota; Metazoa; Arthropoda; Insecta; Coleoptera; Hobartiidae. The record is from RNAcentral.